GGCGGCGCGCCUAACACAUGCAAGUCGAACGAGCGAGAGAGAGCUUGCUUUCUCGAGCGAGUGGCGAACGGGUGAGUAACGCGUGAGGAACCUGCCUCAGAGAGGGGGACAACAGUUGGAAACGACUGCUAAUACCGCAUAAGCCCACGGCUCGGCAUCGAGCAGAGGGAAAAGGAGCAAUCCGCUUUGAGAUGGCCUCGCGUCCGAUUAGCUAGUUGGUGAGGUAACGGCCCACCAAGGCGACGAUCGGUAGCCGGACUGAGAGGUUGAACGGCCACAUUGGGACUGAGACACGGCCCAGACUCCUACGGGAGGCAGCAGUGGGGAAUAUUGCACAAUGGGGGAAACCCUGAUGCAGCGACGCCGCGUGGAGGAAGAAGGUCUUCGGAUUGUAAACUCCUGUUGUUGAGGAAGAUAAUGACGGUACUCAACAAGGAAGUGACGGCUAACUACGUGCCAGCAGCCGCGGUAAAACGUAGGUCACAAGCGUUGUCCGGAAUUACUGGGUGUAAAGGGAGCGCAGGCGGGAAAACAAGUUGGAAGUGAAAUCCAUGGGCUCAACCCAUGAACUGCUUUCAAAACUGUUUUUCUUGAGUAGUGCAGAGGUAGGCGGAAUUCCCGGUGUAGCGGUGGAAUGCGUAGAUAUCGGGAGGAACACCAGUGGCGAAGGCGGCCUACUGGGCACCAACUGACGCUGAGGCUCGAAAGUGUGGGUAGCAAACAGAAUUAGAUACCCUGGUAGUCCACACCGUAAACGAUGAUUACUAGGUGUUGGAGGAUUGACCCCUUCAGUGCCGCAGUUAACACAAUAAGUAAUCCACCUGGGGAGUACGACCGCAAGGUUGAAACUCAAAGGAAUUGACGGGGGCCCGCACAAGCAGUGGAGUAUGUGGUUUAAUUCGACGCAACGCGAAGAACCUUACCAAGUCUUGACAUCCCUUGACGAACAUAGAAAUAUGUUUUCUCUUCGGAGCAAGGAGACAGGUGGUGCAUGGUUGUCGUCAGCUCGUGUCGUGAGAUGUUGGGUUAAGUCCCGCAACGAGCGCAACCCUUAUGGUCAGUUACUACGCAAGAGGACUCUGGCCAGACUGCCGUUGACAAAACGGAGGAAGGUGGGGAUGACGUCAAAUCAUCAUGCCCUUUAUGACUUGGGCUACACACGUACUACAAUGGCGUUAAACAAAGAGAAGCAAGACCGCGAGGUGGAGCAAAACUCAGAAACAACGUCCCAGUUCGGACUGCAGGCUGCAACUCGCCUGCACGAAGUCGGAAUUGCUAGUAAUCGUGGAUCAGCAUGCCACGGUGAAUACGUUCCCGGGCCUUGCACA
This 1328-nucleotide ribosomal RNA is filed under the name uncultured bacterium. RNAcentral describes it as "bacterial SSU rRNA". It matches the Rfam family "Bacterial small subunit ribosomal RNA", at positions 38 to 1387 of the family's 1533-position model. The record is from RNAcentral.